AGGCAUUGAUAAUAAUUAGUCUCUGUGGAAUACGACCUUGCUUGCUACUGUAAACAAUUGCACCCGUACACUUGCGGCGUGUUAAAUAAAAUAGCGAACAAGUUUUUGGCGCUGUUGCCGGGGACUGAUUUUUAUCAGUACUAUCUGUUGAUUGUUUGAGACUAAUCUGGAUUUUUUUUCUGUUAUUUUUUUUUUCUUUAUUUUUCCUGCGGUUCUGAUUCUUGUGUUUGGAGCUUUCCAGGUAG
Molecule: long non-coding RNA, 245 nt
Filed under: Salvia miltiorrhiza (redroot sage)
Lineage: Eukaryota; Viridiplantae; Streptophyta; Magnoliopsida; Lamiales; Lamiaceae
Description: long non-coding RNA (SMIL_LNC011516)
Source: RNAcentral